Mauremys mutica (yellowpond turtle) is the source of this 3272-nucleotide RNA transcript. It is a transcript of the gene named KH RNA binding domain containing, signal transduction associated 2, with no coding region annotated. NCBI's taxonomy places the organism in Eukaryota, Metazoa, Chordata, Testudines, Geoemydidae. The transcript has 13 exons. The record is from RefSeq and is a predicted model, not a curated record.
GUAGCUCAGUGGAAGGGGCAGAGGCACGCACGGAGCGAGCGGUGGCUGUGAGGGGCAGCGCAGGGCAGGGCACCCCCGCUGGAGUUCAGGCCAGCUCCGUGCCGGCGGAGCGGAGAGACCCCAGGUGCCCAGAGCGGGGGAGGGAAUUAGGCAACAAUAAGCAGCCGGCCAAGCCUCUGCAUCCGAGCAGCACCUAGGGCAGGCGGACGGUCCCAAGUGAAGAGCAGCAGCAGCGGUACUAUGGAGCAGGAGAAAUAUCUGCCCGAGCUGAUGGCAGAGAAGGACAGCCUGGACCCGUCCUUUGUUCAUGCAAUGCGCCUCCUGGCUGAAGAAAUUGAAAAAUUUCAGGGUUCUGAUGGGAAAAAGGAAGAUGAAGAAAAGAAAUACCUUGAUGUCAUCAGCAACAAAAACAUAAAGCUGUCAGAAAGAGUACUGAUCCCUGUCAAACAGUAUCCCAAGUUCAAUUUUGUUGGGAAAUUGCUUGGACCAAGAGGAAACUCCUUGAAGAGGUUACAAGAGGAAACAGGUGCAAAAAUGUCUAUCCUGGGCAAAGGUUCCAUGAGGGAUAAAGCUAAGGAAGAAGAACUAAGGAAAAGUGGGGAAGCCAAAUAUUCACACUUGAGCGACGAGCUUCAUGUUCUAAUUGAAGUGUUUGCUCCACCUGGGGAAGCUUAUUCACGUAUGAGUCAUGCCUUGGAAGAGAUUAAAAAAUUCCUUGUUCCAGACUACAAUGACGAAAUCCGUCAGGAGCAGUUGAGAGAAUUGUCGUACUUGAAUGGUUCUGAAGAUUCAGCACGUGGACGGGGCAUUCGUGGAAGAGGAAUCCGGGUACCACCUGCAGCUCCAUCAAGAGGACGUGGGGGUGCGCUUCCUCCUCCCCCACCUGGGCGAGGUGCCCAAACACCUAGAGGGACACCAGUGACACGUGGAGCACUCCCAGUUCCUCCUGUAGCUAGGGGUGUUCCAACCCCUCGAGCAAGGGGAACUCCAGCAGUCCCAGGCUACAGACCACCCCCUCCUCCAGCACAUGAGGCCUAUGAAGAAUAUGGAUAUGAUGAUGGAUAUGGGGGUGAAUAUGAUGACCCAAGCUACGAAGGAUAUGAUAACAGUUAUGCCACCCAAACACAGAGUGUGCCUGAAUAUUAUGAUUAUGGUCAUGGAACAAGUGAAGAUGCUUAUGACAGCUACGCACAAGAAGAAUGGGCCACAACCCGUUCCAGCCUAAAGGCACCACCUCCAAGGUCAGCCCGAGGGGGUUACAGGGAACACCCCUAUGGUAGAUAUUGAAGGUCCUCCUCAUCUGUGACCUCAACUCAAAGACAAUUAAUAGCCUGUGGUCUCCACAUAAACAGCAACAAGACAAGGACACACAGGCAAUGGACAGCUAAGCUGCAGAUGUACUGAGAAGUGUUCAGGUACAGAGCACUUCAUUAUGUGCACGAACAGAAAUGCUUAAACAGAUGAAGAAGCUAUUUGCAUCUGAUAGGAACUAAGUGGGACAUUAAAUUAAUGCCAAACAAGAGACACAUAAGGAGGAUUCCAAUUGAUCAAGGUGAAAAGAGAGGAAAGAAAUCAGCUGGAUUUUUUUCAUACAAGGAAUCUAUAUAGACAGUGCUGGUUGCGCCAGGAGAUUUUCACUAUUCAGUCUGAAGAACAAAAUGAGGUUAAUAAGACUGGAAAGUUGGAAGAAAUGUAAUGACAAGCAAAUCAAAACACAGCAUUUUGAAAGGUCAAAAUGGGACAUUACAUCCUUAUUAUCCCAAGAAUACAAGAGUGUAAUACCAUGGCACUAUUUUCCAGUGAAAAAAGAUUUUAAUCAAGAGCUGAAAAUGGAACAACUUUAUUUCUUUCUUGUGACAAAGAUUAUAACAAGGCUGUGAAAUAAAUCUCUUCCUGUUGUAAUCUUCCAAGUGUGGAUCCUACUUGUAUGUCAAAGACCUAAACUAUACCAAAGAGUUCAUACCCAUAUUAUGCCUUUCAUCAGUAUCUAUAACUAUAUACAGUGGAUAUCUUUUAGAAUUCAACAUUUGCCUUCUGAAAUCACACUUGCCCAUUUUAGCUGACGCAUUGCAUCUCUGUUUUACAUUAGCUCCUUCCUCAAGGUAUGGAGACAUUUUAAAGCAAAGGAAUUUACAGUGCAUCCAAUAGCUUAGUAACAAACUACUAAAUAUAUGAAACUGUCAUGAUCUGAUCUGUCGAGUUUAGUCAUUACACACGUGAAGACUCUUCCUCUAGGACUACAGGUCUGAGGAAACAAAAGCUAAGCUAUAAGAGAAAUGUUACAUUUUUAAACACCUAAACAUACCUUUAAGGUUCCUGUGACCAAGACUAUUUCUAAUUAUUGAGCAAAUAAUGUAAUUAAAAUUAAAGGUAGACACGUGAAAAGCAGAGCUCUUGUUUACUAGCUAAAAACCCCUCUGCUUAUCCAGCUUGAUAUUUGAGGAGUUUGAUACAAUGUGUAGAAUUACAGUUUAGGUGUUAGUAAUGUUAAAAUCUGUUAUGCAAAAACAUUAAAUUCUUUCAAACCAUAACCAGCUUUUAAAUAUUGUUAGUGCUAUUGGUAUGGGUGGAUCCUGCUCAAGAUCUGUCAGGUAAAAAUUAAGAGAAGACAAAGUGAUGUUCAUAUAUGUAUUUUCCAGGGAAAUAUGCCUGAAGAAAUUCCAUCUUCAUGAUACUUUCAAGUCAGCAUCUUGCUGAGGAAAGCCAUUUAGCUUUGGUGGCUUGGACAUGACAGCACCAAGAGAUGUUUGGUUUCCCAUGUUUUGGUUUUAAGUGAACAACCACUCUCUGGUACUUGAGCUUUACCCUAGUCAUGCACAUUACUUUGUCCUCUCUGAUUGCCCUGCCAUAGUUCAGUGAUAAGGAAGGGGGGAGAUCAGGUGACUUGAUCCAAAAAAUUUUUCCAGGCCUUGAGUACAAAAAGUGUUUGUUUGUUUUUCCUUUCCUUGUUGAUUUCCUUUUCCACUAGAGACUGCAGAUGCAUGUCAUCCUUUUUUUUCAGCUAUAAGGUAGAAUAGUUUUUCAAUGUACUCACAAUCUGCAACAUAUUUUGAAAUUUCAAAGAUUUUGCAAAACUACACAUAAAAAAUCCUUAAUGGUUGUUCAUUUCAUAAGUAUCUAUAGAAAUUAAUGUUUUCUUAGUGUCUAAAAAAUUCCGCAAACUGCAGUUUAACGUAUUAUGUCUGGUUCUUUGUAACUUAAGAUAAUUUGUUAGUUAUGAAACUAAAAUUGCUGUACUGAACUCUCCUCUGUAAUAAUGCGCCUACUGUUAA